This 227-nucleotide ribosomal RNA is filed under the name uncultured bacterium. RNAcentral's name for it is "partial 16S ribosomal RNA". It matches the Rfam family "Bacterial small subunit ribosomal RNA", at positions 568 to 796 of the family's 1533-position model. The record is from RNAcentral.
CAUGUAGGUUGUAAUUUAAGUCAGUUUUAAAUGUCACGGCUUAACCGUGGACUGGAAUUGAAACUGGAUUACUUGAGUAUGAGAGGGGACAGAGGAAUACCUAGUGUAGCGGUGGAAUGCGUAGAUAUUAGGUAGAACACCCGAGGCGAAGGCGUCUGUCUGGCUCAUUACUGACACUGAAAUGCGAAAGCAUGGGUAGCGAACAGGAUUAGAUACCCUGGUAGUCC